UACAGAGGAUGCAAGCGUUGUCCGGAAUGAUUGGGCGUAAAGCGUGUGUAGGCGGCUUUUUAAGUCCGCCGUGAAAUCCCAGGGCUCAACUCUGGACAGGCGGUGGAAACUGCCAAGCUGGAGUACGGUAGGGGCAGAGGGAAUUUCCGGUGGAGCGGUGAAAUGCGUAGAGAUCGGGAAGAACACCAACGGCGAAAGCACUCUGCUGGGCCGACACUGACACUGAGAGACGAAAGCUAGGGGAGCGAAUGGG
RNAcentral lists this ribosomal RNA (253 nucleotides) under uncultured bacterium. RNAcentral describes it as "partial 16S ribosomal RNA". It matches the Rfam family "Bacterial small subunit ribosomal RNA", at positions 524 to 776 of the family's 1533-position model. The record is from RNAcentral.